AACAGCAAGAGAGAAGUGAGAGACGAGAAAGCACAAAACUACGGGAGAGAUAAAAUGUAGAGUUAGUAACAUGCAUUAAUGAGCUAAUCAUUCUGAAAAUUCUGCUCUAUGGUGGUGGAAAUUCACUGGAAAUUAAAAAAAAUAACAAUUGCUGUCUAUGUCCCGGUCCAUCCAUACAGCCAAAAUAAUUUGAGGCAGACUGCAGGUUAAUGAACCAAACUGGCAUCUUCUGGGGUCCCAUUCUGAAAGACCUGACCAAAUUAUUAUUAUUAUCCAUUUUCUAUGGUAAUGGAUAGUGCCACACUUAAUCUACAGUAUUUCAUUGCUAACCAGGAUAUCAUCAGUUUUUCUGCUCUGCUUUGGUGUGAAACGGCAGUUAUUAUCACUCCUCUCAAACUGUUUUGUACCUGUCAUUGGAACAAACUCAUAAUAAAAUCAUAACUAAAUAUUCGAAAUAAAUGUGUUUGCAGAAAUUAAGUAAUUCAGUCGUGUCCAGUGAAAACCAUCUAUCGCAAAAUUGGUGAUUUUAAUUUUUUUUGGAUAAACUGAAGGAUUAAGUCUUCCUUUAUGGGUUGAGAAAGUUCUCAGACUUUUUAAAAGAGUACUCUGCCGAUUUAGCAUUGCUCUCCUAUAACAUUGUUGGACUCAAGAUGGACAGUUUAAAACAAGAAGAGUCAAAAUGGAUGCAGCAGAACCAGAGAUAUCAUCUUUUAUUCCACAAAUUCUUCUUCCAUGUCAAAACCUGGCGCCUACAUUAUCCACAAUGCAAUUCGACCGCCAACAGUUUGGUCAGAGAUUUGGGUGUGUUAUGUACCAGCUAAUGUAGCCUCGAACCGCUAGCCUAGAGCAGAUAUGAGGAGCGGGCUACAGAGGUCUGGUAAGAUCACUUCUUUCUAACUCCAGACCCCAAGAUUUUUUACAUUUUCAAACUUGUAGUCUUCAGCCCCAACCAACGCUGACUCAAGUGACAUCACUUGAGACAAUUUAUCAGUUUUCUUGCAGCUCCCUCUGGAGCCACAAAUGGUUUUAUACAACUUCUGUCACAUACUAAGCAGUAGUACUGCCCAACACCUGUAAACAGACUUUGACUUAUAAAAUCGGUGGAGUUCCCCUUUAAGAUAAAUAAACCAUUUAAAAAGCUAAUGAAAAGUUGAUGUUUGGAGAUACAUCGUUUUCACAGGACAGCAAAGUCUUAUUAAUGAACAGCUUUAAUAACACUUGAUGUUAAUUUAAUUUUUACACCACUCGUCUAAAACCAGACAGGGUUUCAUGUACUGUAUGACUAAAUCCAGAGGCUCAAUACAUGAGGGGAGAUCACUUCAAAAUGAUUUAUGAUUAUAAGAGGUAAAAACUCAUCAUGAUUCAAUGAUUAAAAAAAGCCUCGAUGAAAAUUUAUUUCUAUAAUUAACCUCUUGUCUGCCAUUAGCCAGUGUCAUGAAUUCUUCUGCGGAAGUCUCUCAACAUGAUAUUAAACAUGCUAACAAGCACCAACAGAGAGAGUAGCUGGGGAAAUGCCUCAGAUGAGAAGAAUAAAAGCAAAAAAUAUUCUUGUGGUAGAAGAAUUGUUGAAACUGUAUUGGCACACAAAGCUGUGGGUUUAAAUGUGGGUUCACGCUGUACUCCUUCAAUACCCGAGGCAUAAAUAUGCUAAAGGGUAGUGAUCUCUGUUUAUAGUCUUUUGAUCUCUAAGAUGUCUCCUUCUGCUUGCUUUUCACCACAGGAAGGUCAGAUCACAAAGCUACAGCUACAGCACAACAGAACUGGUGCAGAUGGGUAGUCAGUGUCUUCCCGAUUACACUUGAGUGCUGCAAGAUGUUUGUGUUUGCCUUUCCAGCCUGAAAAGAAGUCUAUCAAGUCAUUACACAACCUUGAGGAACAUGCAAGAAAAUGUCAAGAGCUUUUGAGUGAGUUGUCAUGGAGAUGGAUUAGUUUAUGUCAACUGAAGAACUGCAUCCACCGGAGACAGCCAUGAGAUAUGGUUGAAACACAAAGUAAGAGGACCUUGUGUUGAGUGUUUUAUAGCCAAGCUGCUAUUUUCAAGUAUGAACAUUCAAGCUCAGCAUUGUUAUAUGGAUGUUGUGUAUUUUUCUCCAUGUUCCAGUGCUGUAUUCUAUAAACCAGAGAGGCUUUUACCAUUUUGAUGUUCCUUGUAAUGUUUUCAUGGGAGUUUUUCAUUAUCACCACAGAGGGUCUAUGUAGAGUGAUUUUCACUUCAUAGAAACACAUUUCUGACCUGCUAAGAGUACCUCUGUCGCUUUAGCAGAAUUUGCCUAGUGUUUCCUUUGUCUUAGUUGUAAGUUAGCUGUCCGUGUGUGUGAGCAGCCUAGGAAGUAAUUGAUACAAUUAUCUCUAUCUCAUAAUGUGGGCAUUGUGAGGCCCACUGAGACUAUUAUUGAGGGCUAUGAACUUGACUAAUAGCAUGCUUCUCCCGGCUUCUACAACCACCCUAUUUCAACAAAUUCUAGUUCUCCAUGUUUAAAUUUCUAUAUAAUCUAUAUUUGUAAGUGAAACAUAUAAAAUAAUCCUGCCCAAACCAUUAUGUUUACAUGAGUGUGAUCUUUGUCUUUUAGUUUUCAAUCAGUAUUGUAGAAAGACAACCUUUUAGAAUAAGCAGUGACUGUUUCAAACGAGUUUUGAUGCUGGAGUUAGAAAACCAAAGCAGCUGAGUAUCACUACAUAAUAAUGUCAAUAAUUACAGUCGAUAUAAAACUGUGCAGCACACUUACAAGUCAAAAAAGUUUGACAAACUGUACUUGGAUUCAAUGAAUUUCCAAAUUACCAUGGGUUGUCUGAUUUGUUAUGUCUCCACCUAUGACUAAUGUUAUUUUGCAGGUUGCAUUUCACAUUUUGAGCCAAAAUAAAUGGUAUCUGAAAGAAAGUAGAAAAAAAAGUAGCUUUUAAAGAGAAAGUGUCAUAUAAAACGAACGGUGGUCUAUUUAGAAAAAAAAUGUUGACUGUCAAACCAAAGGUGAGACGUAUUCACUUGUUUUUAACCAAAUCCCAUUUUAAUUAUACCAGUGCAGCAUGCUUCCUUAUGCCUUGUUUCAAGACACUUGGCAGCCACACUUAUCUAUCAAAGCCCUGACAGAAGUUGUUGAGCACAAAAGGGAGGAAACACCGAUGCAAAAGAAGCUGUUUAUAGUGCUACUUCAUCUAUAUGCUCUUAUUGUUUCAUGCAACAAAAUUAAUCUAAAUAUAAAAUAUUACAAUCCAUUGUCAUCACAGGAAUUUUUCAUUUGAUUGUUAUUUCUAUAAUUACAGACUAUAAAAACCAACAGAAAAUUAAGCAGACUACAAUAAUUAGUCUCUUUCCACGUUAUUGUGCUGCUGAUAUUCCUGAAACAAAUUUUUAGCAAAGUCUAUGGUCAAAUGGCAAUCUCUUAAUGCAGAAAAAAAUCUGACACUUACACAUGGACAUUUCCCUAUUAGUGUGGGCACCACUUCAAGCUUGCCUCUGGGUAAUUCCUGCAUCAGGCGAAAUGAGUGACUCCAUUGGAAGAAUCUUUUUGUUAUACGGGGGAAAAAAGAUUUUAAGCUCAAGAAGGAUGGUAACACUGCUGCCAUUUUGUCUUCGAGGCAGAGCUUAAUGAGAGCUGGGAAGGUAAGUUCAUGCAGAACACUCAGUCCUGAGGGUAAAUGUGCCUCUGCUACUCUGCCUUCUUGAAAGAACUAAUGACCCUCACCAUGAUAUUCAGAUUGGUUAUCUUUUCUUAGGAGAUUUGGAUGGCUACUUAAGGCUGUCACAGCUGUACUGGGCAUUUGGAAUAUGAGCAAAUGGGGGGGUCAUAAUUAGCAAACAUUUAUGAGAUUUAAAAAGUUUCACCUUUCAUCCCCUUCAACAUUACCACCCAGACAAAGACAAAUAAGGUGACUGUUAUUUCUAGUGAAAGGGUAUAUCUCUGUGGAUCUUUCACAGAGGCGCUGUGUGUAUGGAAUUGGUGAUAUCACUGCCUGCUUCACUGCUUCCCAAAUCGAGGCAGGGAUCAGAUGCCACUCAUUCCUCUCCAGUGGUUCAAAGAAGAAUAACAUCCCUGCUAAUUAAGCCCGAGACAAACAGCAUCAAUGUAUAGGAAAGAAGUAAGGAUGCAAUGGGAUCCGAGGUGUGUGGUAUAAGCAUACCACAUUGAUAUGAGUCAAGUGAUGUCGGUCAGUGUGUGCCUGCUUUGUCUGAAGGGAGAUAACAGAGUCAGAAGUUCCAUGUUUCUGACUCUGUUCAUCUCCAGGCGAGCGGUUUCCUGCUCACUCUCCCAUGCACGUAUACAUAAACACCACCACCACACCACCACCACUUCUUAAGUGUUUACACUCUCGCUUGCUUUGACCUGGGGUUUCCACAAGCAUCGGGUUGACUGAAUUAAACUGACCCCGGUUACUUUUCUUUCAGAGAAAACAAUCAAUUUGAAAGCUACAGAUGUGUUGCACGCUUCAAAAUUGCAAAUGACAGAUGAAUUCCAUGUGUCUGAGCUCCUCAUCUGAGUUGGCCAAAAAAUAACCCAAAUAUGAGGGGAAAUUUGAAGAUGGAGGUGAUAGGUUAGCAAACAGACAGACAACCAGCUAUUUGGUGGGGGGAAAAAGUGCACUUUUAUGCAUUUCUGGAGAUCAUUUAUGCAGCUACUAAUUCAAUAGUUACACCACAGUGACAAAGUCAAAAAGUUUAGCUCUGCACAGUGUACAAAAAUUUCAACGUCUAUAUGUGACUACAUGGGCAGCUAACAUUGGAAGAUAAAUCUAUGUAACCCAAAAAGUGUUCAUGUGCAAAUCUACCGAAUGCCUCUGCAAGUUUAUUUCAGUUUAAAGUGCACAUUACACUGGACCUUAAAACAUGUAAUAACUAUUUUCUUAAACGCUUCUUUAAGUAAAAAAUAAAAAAAUAAAAAACAUAAUAUGGAUGAAAAAUUACAAGCAGCAAUACUCGACAACUCGAUAUUGACACUGGCUACAAGUAGAAAUCAUAUGUCUGCUUAUGUCUACUUUUAAACAAAAAUUGCAUCAAAUUUUGAUUAUAGUCAUAGUCCUCUUACUUCUGAAGUAACCUGAUGAAAUUCUGGGAGAGACAGCUCAUCAUGGAUCACAAGACUACAAAAUAUGUUAAAAUACUGAUUUAUUCAUACCAUAACACAGUAAGUAAACAGUGCAACUUCAGAAAAUCCCAUGAAAUGGUGGACAGGAAUGUGCAUAAAAAUAAUUUCUUGAUAUACUUGAAAGUCAGUCAAAAUUGGUAUUGAUUUGGUGGGCGAGAGAUCUUUCUCUGUCUCCUUCCCCGUCCUCCAUCUCUCCUUACGUUUUACGCCGUCGUUUUCCGAGGACGGGCGACGUAGCUGCAUCGUCUCCUCUCAAGCUGGAUGC
This is a long non-coding RNA of Siniperca chuatsi (mandarin fish), 5346 nucleotides long. RefSeq lists it as uncharacterized. The record is from RefSeq and is a predicted model, not a curated record. The transcript is spliced from 2 exons. Lineage: Eukaryota; Metazoa; Chordata; Actinopteri; Centrarchiformes; Sinipercidae.